CAAGCCAAAAGUCUGCAUGUCCACACAUCUCCUCACCCUCCACAGGAAGAUAUCGGGACAAACCUUCUUAAGAAGCAUUUUGUAUAAGUUGCCUUGUUGCCAAUCGUGAAUCUUCAGAACUGUCUGCCAAAUGCCUGACACUGAAGUGAUUUAAGACCUGCAUUAGAUCAGCUUCAACUGAGUGUAGCAUGCUGCCCUGGGAGGGUGACUGCUCAAUGAGCAUUCCCCUGGCUCUGAGAAGUGAGAAAAAUAAGUUCUGUUAAAAGAAAGAAUUAAUAGUAAUUUGAAUUGAGAAGCCUAAAUCCUGCCCAGACAUACACUCAGAACAAGUUCAGAGCUCAGAAUGCCGCAGUAAUGCAUAUCAAACUUUCUUUCACAUAAACUCCUCGAAACAUCAGGAUGAAAUGGUUAUCAGGAUUCUGAAGGACUAAGGUCUUCAUGUGUAGUGCUAACAGUUAAAAAGAAGGAAAAGCAACCAAAUUGCCCCUAGUCUGCUCAAGAGCCCGUCACUGCUUCCUAAGUGGUCACGCUACAAAAUCAAAGAAGUAACAAGGUAUGGUUGGUUACCCUUCCAAAAAUAACUGCAAGUAUUAAGUGCUGUCUUUAUGGAGAAGCCAGACCUCCUGCAGUAAGAGGGAAAAUUGAAUUGACUUGCAAGAGGCCAGAAUGCCACCCACAGAGGUGCUUGAUUGCCAGAAAAUGCUGAGUUCCUGCUGCUUGGAAUCACUGCUGUCCGAUAUCCGGCAUUGUACUGAAAGGCCGCCCAGGGAGGUGGUGGAGUCACCAUUCCUCGAAGUGUUAAGAACCAUGGAGAUGUAGCACUGAGGGACAUGGUCAGUGGGAGCGGUGGAGGUAAAUUUAAGGGCAUGCAUCUCUGGCUGGACUUUUCUGGAAGGACUUUUCUGCAGCCUUUUGCAUUCUCUAUGUUCAGAGGAUAGAAGCUGUAACCAUUCAGUUCUGCAAUCAGGCUUGGCUCCAGUGAAAAUAAAGUUGAAUUCCAACAUAAGGUAACCGGUAAGCUUUUGUGUGAUGGACCACCACCACCAAGAUAACCAGCUUUCAAAUAUGAGGAUAAUGAACACACUGUUUAAGUCCAUGGAACUCUGAUUUACUGUGGCUGAGGCUCUGGAAGAACUUUUUUUUUUCUCUUUGUUUUGUAGACUCAGGAUGGAAAACUGAAAGAAAGGAAUGGAAAUGUUUCAGAGAGGAGACAGACAGCUGGUGGAGUUGCAGAUUGCUUUGUCAAGGAACAACAAAGAUUCUGCUGAAGUUGAUAUUAGGCCAACAGGGAUUCUGUGGAGAGUUUCCCUUCAACAAGCAUAGCAUCUCUCAGAGAGUUCACAAGCAGGAGGAAUCAAAAUGUGGGAGACCAGGAGGUCAGGACAGCAUGCUUGAUUGCCUACAUGAAGAGUAACAAGCUUCUCCUCUGGUCCCAUGUGAGCCACCUGGAAACCAUUGAGGAGCACAAGAGCCCCAGUAUCAUCUCAGUGGAUGUUUCAGAGAAACUGUUUGAAUGUCUGUGCUAGAAAGGUACAUGAAUUUAUCCUGCAAUGAAUACAGAAGCAUAGGAGAUGGAGGACAGGACCUUGACCUGAACAGAUCUGAAGAAUGAGAUACAGAAAACAGAAAAAAAAAAUCAACUUUUCAUGAAGAGUUGAAAGAAAGAAAAAAGAAGAAAGUGCACGUCCUUCAAAAAGGAAAUCCUCCAGCAAAUCUGCUAAUGAAGUCCCUGCUCAUUUUGCAUUCUGGAUUUGCCCAAAGAGGUGCUAAAUAUCAGCAGGUAAUGGAGGACGGGAACAAUACUGUUGAGCAACGACAAGCAAGUGAGAUUAAAGCUGAAAAUACUGAUUCUACAAGAACUGCUUGUUCAUGGGAAUGCUGCUGCUACAUGCCAGAAAAUCUAAAGAAGAAAAAUAAUGAAAAGGUGAAGUAAUUUCUUUGAAUUCACAGUAAAUCAGCAGACUCAUGGAUCGAAGUCAGACUAAUAGACCAAGGACAAACACAACUGCGGGGAUUGGCCUCUUCUCCCAGCGUAGGAGAGUUUCAAAGAGGAACCUGACAGAUAUUUGCUCCUGCUGGGCUGAGCUGUGAUGCUGGAGAUUUCAAGAAGAUACUCCACAGCAGUUGAGUGACUUUCUCAUUGCAAGGCAACGCUGGGAAAAGCAUCCUCUCCAGGUAGGAAGAAAGUGUAAAAAGAAGUCCGGAAAUGAGGCUUAUAUCUGAUGGAUAUGGGGUGCUGGCAGGGUCAUGCCUGGAAAGAAGUGGUGCACCAAAACUGACAAGGUAGGGAAACCUUCCAUCCAGGUUUACAGAGAAUAGCAGAGGGUUCACUCUCAUUUUGAUCUGAUAUAAUGCUUUGAAUCUGGGAAAAUAUAUGGUAUAACUUUUCAUUACAAAAUAUUUAUUUUUUAACAUGUGAGACUAGAUGCAUUUCACAGUUUUAUUUUGCUGUUUCCUGUCUGUCUUUCUUCAACUCUCGUGCCUGUUAAAUGUCAAAAAAAAAAAAAAACUUAUGCGAAGAGGCCAUGAGGGUGCAGGUCUGCUAAAGAGUCUGAGGGUAAUCAAUAAUGUGGAUUUGAUUUUCAGCCAUGCCAAAUAGCUCUGGUUCCACAUGGCAUUAUCAGCACCAGUAAGCAGUCAGUGUUAUACAUGGAGAUCUUUAAGUGCUCUUGGAUUGUUUCUUGAUUGGUAUCUGUGGGGAAAAAGAAGGUAACUUGACUUGUAAAGUUUCAAGAUUCAACCCACAUUUAUUUAUUGUUUCACAAUUUCCAGACUCCUCAUGGGAGUUACAAACAUAAGCCUGCAUCCUUGGGAGUACCAUGUGCUCCUGCACAUCAGUCUUGGGCUGCUGGAGCUUUAUUGCUGCUUUCACAGCUGUUGUGUUCCCAUACAUAAUUAAUAAGCAAACACUUCAUAAGGUAUUGUGAAUGGAUAAUGUUAUUAUAUUGUCCAUCGCACAUUGAAAUCAAAAUGGACCAAGACAAAUUUUUACUAGUAUCUGAACAUUAUUUCUAAGGAGGAGAUGAAAGUGUUUCACAACAUAUUGAUCUGUACCUGAGCGUAAAUGAUUAAUGUACUGUGGUCCAACUGCAGCUGGAUUUCUUUUGACAACAGCCAUGAAACAAGCUAUAAUCUCAUAUCCAUUGAUAGAUCGAUAUAUAUAGGUAUGUAUUUUUAUAUAUAGAUGCAUUUACCUUUAUCGUGUGAUUGAGUGGCAGACCUUGCAUUAUAAAUCAAGGCUUGGCAAAAGUGGAAGUAUAAACUUGACACAUUUCUG
Molecule: long non-coding RNA, 3277 nt
Filed under: Gallus gallus (chicken)
Lineage: Eukaryota; Metazoa; Chordata; Aves; Galliformes; Phasianidae
Description: lncRNA (ENSGALG00010022168.1)
Source: RNAcentral